This is an RNA transcript of Benincasa hispida (wax gourd), 1910 nucleotides long. It is a transcript of the gene named Radical SAM superfamily protein, with no coding region annotated. Lineage: Eukaryota; Viridiplantae; Streptophyta; Magnoliopsida; Cucurbitales; Cucurbitaceae. The record is from RefSeq and is a predicted model, not a curated record.
GAAUAUGUGAUUAACCCAAAAAAAAGGGGAAAAAACCCUCAAAGGGCGAAGAACAAAAAACUGCCCUGUAUCAACUAUUGCGCGCUCCCAAGUCCCAACAAAAACCAAGCGGCGGAGCGAUGGCGGCGUUUCGGUCUGCAUUCGAUGCCGGAGAGAUGAGAACCGAGUUCGAGAAGGCCGGGGUCAAAACCACCUUCAUCCCCUUCAUUUGGAAGCAUUUGCUUCACGAUCCAAACAACCUAUUCAACCAUAAUCUGGCAUCCGAAUUCGAGUGGGAGCAAGCCGUGCCUUCGCUGCCGUCGGCGGCCUACUGCUUGCUCCGGUCAAAGUUCAAGCCUCUUACUUCCACCGUCCAUUCCGUCGUCGAUUCCUCCGAUCAGGUCACCACCAAACUCCUUAUCAAGCUUCAGAGUGGAGCUUUUGUCGAGGCUGUCAUCAUGAGGUAUGAUACUCGUCUGGGAAAAUAUGGCGGAAAACCUCGUCCAGGUGGUCCGCGGUCUACUCUCUGUAUUUCUUCACAGGUUGGCUGCAAAAUGGGAUGCAGAUUCUGUGCAACCGGAACGAUGGGAUAUAAAAGCAAUCUGACUUCAGGGGAGAUAGUGGAGCAGUUGGUCCAUGCCUCCCAUUUGUCCCAAAUACGCAAUAUUGUUUUCAUGGGAAUGGGAGAACCGUUGAAUAACUAUUCUGCUUUAGUGGAAGCUGUCCGUGCCAUGAUAGGCUCACCAUUCUUAUUAUCACCCAAGAGAAUUACUAUCUCAACUGUUGGGAUUAUUCAUGCUAUAAACAAACUGCAUGGUGAUCUACCAGGAUUGAACUUGGCCGUUUCCUUGCAUGCACCUGUGCAAGAUAUUCGUUGUCAGAUAAUGCCUGCAGCUCGGGCUUUUCCUUUACAAAAACUUAUGGAUGCACUUCAAGAGUAUCAAAAAAAGAGUCAGCAAAAAAUAUUAAUCGAGUACAUAAUGCUUGACGGAGUGAAUGAUCAGGAGCAACAUGCCCACCAACUCGGAAAAUUGUUAGAGACAUUCCAAGUGGUUGUGAACUUAAUACCAUUCAAUCCAAUUGGUAGUUCAAGCCAAUUCAGAACCAGUGAUGAUGAGAAAGUUUCGGUAUUCCAGAAAGUUCUUCGUGGUACCUAUAAUAUACGCACAACAGUUCGUAAGCAGAUGGGUCAAGAUAUCAGUGGUGCAUGUGGUCAACUGGUGGUCAGCAUGCCUAAUAGAAGCUCUGGUAAACAAACUAGUGUUCUACCUGAUAUUGAAGAUCUUCACCUCUGAAGUUGACCAGAUACCAUCAGGUCGACAUUUUAUUUACAUGUUCACUAGUUUGUCCUCUUUCUAUGCCGGAGUAUAGUGUGUUGGAGGAGGUUGCCCCUAGCCACUUGUUUCAACUGUUGAUUAAAAAUCGGCAGUUGGUAGACUUGAUCAGUUGGUAGACUCGAUCGGCCUCCUGGAAUGCACAUGACAGAAUCAAUCUCGAGCCAAUGCAGACUGGAAAGUAUAUUGAAGAGAGAAGAGACUAGGGAGGUUGAAAUCGUUCAAUGAGGUGGAAAUGCCAAGAGAACAAAGAAGUUUAAAAUGUGGUUGCAGGAAGACUUGAUUGUGAUUGUUGUAAUUCAGGCUAUGUUUAUCCAUUCAGCGUUGGCAUCAUGUAGGGCUUUUUCAAUCUGAUUUCCUCAGAUAGUUGAGGGGCAUGGUUCAGCCAAAACCAAAGGCAUAGAUUAGAUGAAGUUUUUUUUCCCCCUUUUUUGAAGUUCAAUGCUCUGUACAAUUCUAAUUUAGAAAUAUGUUUUUUAUAUUAUGUGAGGUAUGCUUCUUAACUCAAACUGUGAAAUAAAAACAAGGCACAACUCGAUAGAUUCAAAAUAUUGUAAGAUACUAUUAAUCAUACUUUUUUUGUCAUGAGUAUCUUAA